Molecule: ribosomal RNA, 515 nt
Filed under: uncultured bacterium
Lineage: Bacteria
Description: partial 16S ribosomal RNA
Rfam family: Bacterial small subunit ribosomal RNA
Source: RNAcentral
GAUGAACGCUGGCGGCGUGCCUAAUACAUGCAAGUCGAGCGAAUGGAUUAAGAGCUUGCUCUUAUGAAGUUAGCGGCGGACGGGUGAGUAACACGUGGGUAACCUGCCCAUAAGACUGGGAUAACUCCGGGAAACCGGGGCUAAUACCGGAUAACAUUUUGAACCGCAUGGUUCGAAAUUGAAAGGCGGCUUCGGCUGUCACUUAUGGAUGGACCCGCGUCGCAUUAGCUAGUUGGUGAGGUAACGGCUCACCAAGGCAACGAUGCGUAGCCGACCUGGGAGGGUUGUCGGCCACACGGGGACGAAGACACCGCCAAGACGCCGACGGGAGGCAGCAGUAGGGAAUCUUCAGCAAUGGACGCAAGUCUGACGGAGCAACGCCGCGUGAGUGAUGAAUGCUUUCGGGUCGUAAAACUCUGUUGUUAGGGAAGAACAAGUGCUAGUUGAAUAAGCUGGCACCUUGACGGUACCUAACCAGAAAGCCACGGCUAACUACGUGCCGGCCGCCGCCGUAA